AUACGUAGGGGGCGAGCGUUGUCCGGGAUUACUGGGCGUAAAGGGUGCGUAGGCGGUUUUUUAAGUCAGAUGUGAAAUACCCGGGCUUAACCUGGGGGGUGCAUCUGAUACUGGGGAACUUGAGUGCAGGAGAGGAAAGUGGAAUUCCUAGUGUAGCGGUGAAAUGCGUAGAUAUUAGGAGGAACACCAGUGGCGAAGGCGACUUUCUGGACUGUAACUGACACUGAGGCACGAAAGCGUGGGGAGCAAACAGGAUUAGAUACCCUGGUAGUCCACGCCGUAAACGAUGAGUACUAGCUGUCGGGGGUUACCCCCCUCGGUGGCGCAGCUAACGCAUUAAGUACUCCGCCUGGGAAGUACGCUCGCAAGAGUGAAACUCAAAUGAAUUGACGG
Molecule: ribosomal RNA, 393 nt
Filed under: uncultured bacterium
Lineage: Bacteria
Description: partial 16S ribosomal RNA
Rfam family: Bacterial small subunit ribosomal RNA
Source: RNAcentral